RNAcentral lists this ribosomal RNA (250 nucleotides) under uncultured prokaryote. RNAcentral's name for it is "partial 16S ribosomal RNA". It matches the Rfam family "Bacterial small subunit ribosomal RNA", at positions 524 to 773 of the family's 1533-position model. The record is from RNAcentral.
UACGGGGGAUGCAAGCGUUGUCCGGAAUAACUGGGCGUAAAGGGAGCGUAGGUGGUUAUUUAAGUUAAAUGUGAAAUCCCGUGGCUUAACUACGGAACUGCAUUUAAUACUGGGUGACUUGAGUACAGGAGGGGUAAGCGGAAUUCCUAGUGUAGCGGUGAAAUGCGUAGAUAUUAGGAGGAACACCGGAGGCGAAGGCGGCUUACUGGACUGCAACUGACACUGAGGCUCGAAAGCGUGGGGAGCAAAC